RNAcentral lists this ribosomal RNA (469 nucleotides) under uncultured bacterium. Its description in RNAcentral is "bacterial SSU rRNA". It matches the Rfam family "Bacterial small subunit ribosomal RNA", at positions 376 to 842 of the family's 1533-position model. The record is from RNAcentral.
CGGGAGGCUGAACCAGCCAAGUCGCGUGAGGGAAGACGGCCCUACGGGUUGUAAACCUCUUUUGUCAGGGAGCAAGAGGCGGGUCGAGACCUGCUGUGAGAGUACCUGAAGAAAAAGCAUCGGCUAACUCCGUGCCAGCAGCCGCGGUAAUACGGAGGAUGCGAGCGUUAUCCGGAUUUAUUGGGUUUAAAGGGUGCGCAGGCGGAGGCACAAGUCAGCGGUAAAAUCGCGGGGCUCAACCCCGCUCCGCCGUUGAAACUGUGUCCCUUGAGUGCGCGAAGGGUAGGCGGAAUGCGUGGUGUAGCGGUGAAAUGCAUAGAUAUCACGCAGAACUCCGAUCGCGAAGGCAGCCUACCGGCGCGCAACUGACGCUCAUGCACGAAAGCGUGGGUAUCGAACAGGAUUAGAUACCCUGGUAGUCCACGCAGUAAACGAUGAAUGCUAUCUGUCCGGCCGGAAUGACGGCUGG